CUGAACCCAUGUAUGUGGACACCGUCACACACAGGUGUCAGGAGCAAGCUAGGUAGCUGUCUUCCAGAAACAAGCGCUGUAACAUGAAGAUAUGGCCGUGUGGGAACACUAACCCUAUAAAAAGAAACAUUGCUCGGAUCUUGUCCCCUGGACCUUGGAGGACUUUGAUCAGGGCCUACCAAAGCAAGGUUUCUCAAACAACUGUGGGGUGUUUGUUUUGAUGAGCUGAAUGCUGAUGUGACAUGCUGUGUCUUCUACAUCCUGAAAUAUAUUCCUGGAGGGGAGUUUUAUUAGUUAUAAUAACUAAUAUAACUAUCAAACUUAACUUACAGUAUGCUCUGUACAUUGCUAUGGAAGCACAGUGUGAUUUCACUGAGGAAAACAUGCAGCAAAUUCGGCGACGGUGGUGCCUAGUUUUCCUGCAGAACCACGCCGAUGAUGUAGAUGUCCCCCUAGGAGGUCACAUCAGCAUCCAGCUCUGCAGGACCAGACGAUACUGAAAACAUGCGCUGUGAACUGGGAAGCAGAUGUUCUUCUAAGGGACACCCUCGAGUCAGCAAGGUGGUGCGAACGCCAAACAUUUAAAGGCACUGUUUCCCUCCCUAGUGUAAUUGGGAUGGAUGGGGAAGACCGCAUUACAACCCUUAAAGAACUACAGUUGUAUGAUGGCCUGGAUGAAGAGGAAAAUAUUCUCCUCAAGGAACCAGUCAUGUUACAGAGAGAUUGAGAUGUUCUAUGUGGAGGCAGUUGACAACAAGAAAAUGACUGCCUUUGCCUCUUCUGAGGAGCAGGAGUGAAGACAUUUUUGAGGAGUGGUCAAACCUUGUUUUUGUCUGCUGUGUAAAUUGUGUUAUGUUGUUUAGUAAAGAUGACGUAGAAGUCACCCGAGUCUCUGAUCUCUUUACUGGAGCUGGUAUAACUUAAUGUACAAAGCACAUUCAGCUUGUCAGUAUGUCUAUAUGGUAUAGUCU
Long non-coding RNA from Salvelinus namaycush (lake trout), 971 nucleotides. RefSeq lists it as uncharacterized. Lineage: Eukaryota; Metazoa; Chordata; Actinopteri; Salmoniformes; Salmonidae. The transcript has 8 exons. The record is from RefSeq and is a predicted model, not a curated record.